CGGUGGCAGCCCUACCUCUCCCAUUACUCUGUUUUCUCCUCAGAUCGGUUCCGACAGCGGUUGGCGAAGCCCUGCUGGCACUUCUCCACCAUCAUCUCCACCAUGCCGUCGUGCUGGUUGAGAUCCAAUCUACUUCUCCUUACUCUCUUGCUGGAUCAAGAAGAAGGAGAUGUCAUCGAGCCGUACGUGUGCUGAACGCGGAGGUGUCGUCCAUUCGACGCAAGAUCGGGACGGAUCAUGAUAGGAUCAUGGGAUGUAUUGUGAGUGGAUUGCGAAGACGUUCGACUACAUCAACCGCGUUAUAUACGGUUCCGCUUAGCGAUAUACAAGGGUAUGUAGAUGCACU
RNAcentral lists this long non-coding RNA (346 nucleotides) under Hordeum vulgare. Its description in RNAcentral is "long non-coding RNA (HVUL_LNC000803)". Lineage: Eukaryota; Viridiplantae; Streptophyta; Magnoliopsida; Poales; Poaceae. The record is from RNAcentral.